Rattus norvegicus (Norway rat) is the source of this 1344-nucleotide non-coding RNA. Lineage: Eukaryota; Metazoa; Chordata; Mammalia; Rodentia; Muridae. The record is from RefSeq and is a predicted model, not a curated record.
CAGGUUACAAGAGAUAUUUCAGGGAGGGACUAAUGAUGACGUCACUGAGACCUGCCAUGGCCUAAUACCUAAACAGUUUUCCUUACACUGAUCAGAUUUGGAGUGCCCUUUCCAGAUGGGAGGGUAGCGUUAUUGUCCUCUGCAACGCUCCACCAAGCAGCCGACUGACACAGAAGCAGAGGCACAGGGCUUGAUAUCAGAUGGAGCUCAGUGAGUCUCACUGAAAAGCUGAGGGAAGGACUGAGAGAGGCAGAGUUGCACAAUGGUCUUCACGUGGGGUCACUAACCCGUCGCCUGUCUGUGGAUCCUGUUCUCCUACCCGGGCUGCGUUUUCAAGAGCUGGUUGAUGGAUCUUUCUCUUUUCCUAAGAAAAGGCCACUCUGGUUCUCAACUCACUCUUGAAGCCGUGACAGGUCAUCUGCAGAUACAUCUUUUUUAGGAAUGAAUCCUUCGCACUGGAGACCAGAGAAGAGACCUGCAGUUGCAUUAUUAAUAAACAUCAAAGCAAAAUAUAAAAGUCUGAAUGGAAUAAAUAUUUUAGGACAGUGUUUUGCAAGCAAAUUCUUUCAUAGACAGUCUUUGAAGAGCUCUGAAAUUUUGCAUUUCAUAUUUGACUUUUCUGGGACUCUGACUAGAAUCAACUCACAACUGUUUGGGAUUUUCUUGGCAAUUAACCAGUUUGUGAACAGAGCUGAAUUUAUCAUAUGCUCUUCCAUCUACAUUAAUAUUGCUACAGUGAGGAACAACUAUGGUAAAACUCUUCAUCUGAUUUUUCAAACAGCAUCCUCAUACCAUGCGGACUUUUGUGCUUGUGGAGGGAAAGGUUGAGAACACCAUUUGAAAGUUGGAAAUGCUGAAGUGGGAAAGGCCUGUGUGUGGAUCAUACACAACUUCAGAAUAUCCAUUGUUUUAAUAUUCACUAGGAAGUGGACUUCUGCAAAAUGACUUCAGCAGAAAAUCAUGGUAGAAAAACGGUAAUUGAUUCACUGGAGAUAUAGAUGCACUGGAUUGUUCAACAUGGGCUUAGAGGUAGAGACAUGUGAGCACAUAAAGUAUGGAGAAUCAAUCCUGUGUGAUGUUAAGUUUCCCUACCCCAUGGUUCCAUGCAAACAGCAUUAUAUUUAAGCACUGAGGAAUUGAAUAAAAGUCAAUUUUUUGUAAAUCCAAGUCACAAAAAGUACUGUCCUCCUCCAUGAUGCACAUAAACUCUCAGGUGCACUGGCCUUCACAUGCCUGGAUGACAGCUGUCAGCAUGGGAUUUACUGCCAUCCUUUUCAUAACAGCAGAGCUCCAAUCUGCUUCAGCCACGUCAUCAGCGCCCCAUUCUGAUGGAGGGAGACUAGU